Molecule: ribosomal RNA, 367 nt
Filed under: uncultured alga
Lineage: Eukaryota
Description: bacterial LSU rRNA
Rfam family: Bacterial large subunit ribosomal RNA
Source: RNAcentral
GCUUGACUGUAUCCUGGAAUUGGGUUUCGGUUUUUCUUGCGCAGCCUAGGUGGGAGGCAUUGAAGAUUUCUUUCCGGGAAGUUGGAGCCAUCAUUGAGAGACCACUCUGGAGAGGCUAGAAUCCUAAUGGUGAUCCUUGAAUCAGGACACUUGACAGUUUCAGGUGGGCAGUUUUUCUGGGCGGAAACCUCAUAAAAGGUAACUGAGGCGCGCAAAGGUUCCCUCAGUCUGGACGGAAAUCAGACAACGAGUGUAAAGGCAAAAGGGAGCUUGACUGCAAGACCCACAAGUCGAGCAGGAGCGAAAGCUGGCCUUAGUGAUCCGACGGUGCCGUGUGGAAGGGCCGUCGCUCAACGAAUAAAAGUUA